UUUGUCAGUGGGUGGCAGAGAGGAGAGAGGGCAUGUCUGCUCAGUGUUCCGACCAGUGAACAUGUGAAUGCUUAGUAGCCUAACACU
RNAcentral lists this small nucleolar RNA (87 nucleotides) under Meriones unguiculatus (Mongolian gerbil). RNAcentral's name for it is "Small nucleolar RNA SNORA17 (ENSMUGG00000014376.1)". It matches the Rfam family "Small nucleolar RNA SNORA17", at positions 44 to 132 of the family's 132-position model. From Rfam's summary of the family: snoRNA ACA 17 belongs to the H/ACA family of snoRNAs and is predicted to guide pseudouridylation of the 28S rRNA at positions U4659 and U4598. Lineage: Eukaryota; Metazoa; Chordata; Mammalia; Rodentia; Muridae. The record is from RNAcentral.